AAGCACGAAUAAUGCAACAGCUUAGUAAUCAACGAUUCAAAUUUGCAACAAUCGACAUGUAAUUUAUAAUACAACAAUAAACAAUGCAAAAUAUACAAAGAACAACUCAUUAAAUACAAUCCCAACAAUAAAACAAAAAUUUGAAAAAAAAAGCCAGCAAUGCCAUUACCUCUUGCCCUCUCCAAAAUUCUAGAUCUGUAUCAGUAAAUACAUGAGGGAAGAAGGAAAGGAGUCGACAUUGCUGACAUUGAGAACACAAACAUGAAGAGUUGCAGAGAAUCCAAAAUCUUACGAGGGAAGAAGAAUGCGAAUAUCGGCAUCACCCAUGCCAAAAACUGCUUUGUAAGCUAUAAUGAGAUAAGUUGUGACUCAUGAGCAUGAGGGAUAGAUAGCCAAGCCUGAAUAUCUAAAUUGCACUAAAUGAACUUUUAAAUUUGGAUUGGGGAAGAUUUUAUUUUCUUAAGGAUGGAGAAGAAUAAUUCUUGAUUAUCAUUAAAGGAACUUAUAGAUUUAGACAAGAAUAGGGGACAAAAUAGGCUUGCUACUUUGGCUCUUGCUGUUGGAGUAAGUAACAGGUUUAGAUUUUGAUUA
Molecule: unclassified non-coding RNA, 591 nt
Filed under: Hevea brasiliensis (rubber tree)
Lineage: Eukaryota; Viridiplantae; Streptophyta; Magnoliopsida; Malpighiales; Euphorbiaceae
Source: RNAcentral